RNAcentral lists this unclassified non-coding RNA (229 nucleotides) under Hevea brasiliensis (rubber tree). The record is from RNAcentral. Lineage: Eukaryota; Viridiplantae; Streptophyta; Magnoliopsida; Malpighiales; Euphorbiaceae.
GGUUGAUUGGAAGGUUUGUUGACUAAUGAAUUGGCUGUAACAACAGAGGUAGUAUUGCCAAUAAUCGUUUUAUUCAAAGGGAAAUUUGGCUUAGGAAGAAAAUUAAUAAGAGGCGGUCUUGGAGGGUAAGAGUAUAACUGAUUAGGUCUGGAAUUUUGGUAGGGUUGGCUAGCAUUUGCAGAAUUAAAGUUAUUACCAGAAUUGUUAUUGUUAGGGUUGCUAUAAGAAA